RNAcentral lists this ribosomal RNA (566 nucleotides) under uncultured bacterium. RNAcentral describes it as "bacterial SSU rRNA". It matches the Rfam family "Bacterial small subunit ribosomal RNA", at positions 821 to 1394 of the family's 1533-position model. The record is from RNAcentral.
UUUUGGAUUUUCGGAUUCAGAGACCAAGCGAAAGUGAUAAGUUAGCCACCUGGGGAGUACGUCCGCAAGGAUGAAACUCAAAGGAAUUGACGGGGGCCCGCACAAGCGGUGGAUUAUGUGGUUUAAUUCGAUGAUACGCGAGGAACCUUACCAAGACUUAAAUGGGAAAUGACAGGUUUAGAAAUAGGCCCUUCUUCGGACAUUUUUCAAGGUGCUGCAUGGUUGUCGUCAGCUCGUGCCGUGAGGUGUUAGGUUAAGUCCUGCAACGAGCGCAACCCCUGUCACUAGUUGCUAACAUUCAGUUGAGGACUCUAGUGAGACUGCCUACGCAAGUAGAGAGGAAGGUGGGGAUGACGUCAAAUCAUCACGGCCCUUACGUCUUGGGCCACACACGUAAUACAAUGGCCGGUACAGAGGGCAGCUACACAGCGAUGUGAUGCAAAUCUCGAAAGCCGGUCUCAGUUCGGAUUGGAGUCUGCAACUCGACUCUAUGAAGCUGGAAUCGCUAGUAAUCGCGCAACAGCCAUGGCGCGGUGAAUACGUUCCCGGGCCUUGUACACUCCGCC